This 97-nucleotide transfer RNA is filed under the name Lentinula edodes (shiitake mushroom). RNAcentral describes it as "tRNA-Glu". It matches the Rfam family "tRNA". From Rfam's summary of the family: Transfer RNA (tRNA) molecules are approximately 80 nucleotides in length. Their secondary structure includes four short double-helical elements and three loops (D, anti-codon, and T loops). Further hydrogen bonds mediate the characteristic L-shaped molecular structure. tRNAs have two regions of fundamental functional importance: the anti-codon, which is responsible for specific mRNA codon recognition, and the 3' end, to which the tRNAs corresponding amino acid is attached (by aminoacyl-tRNA synthetases). tRNAs cope with the degeneracy of the genetic code in two manners: having more than one tRNA (with a specific anti-codon) for a particular amino acid; and 'wobble' base-pairing, i.e. permitting non-standard base-pairing at the 3rd anti-codon position. Lineage: Eukaryota; Fungi; Basidiomycota; Agaricomycetes; Agaricales; Omphalotaceae. The record is from RNAcentral.
UCCAAUGUGGUGUAGUGGCUAACAUUGCUGUCUUUCAUAGAGCAGCCGCCAAAAUGAAUCUUCACAGCAGCCCGGGGUUCGAUUCCCCGCAUUGGAA